Molecule: long non-coding RNA, 2317 nt
Organism: Salvelinus fontinalis (brook trout)
Lineage: Eukaryota; Metazoa; Chordata; Actinopteri; Salmoniformes; Salmonidae
Exons: 3
Source: RefSeq, a predicted model, not a curated record
GCGGAGGUGACAUGGGACGCCUCCCAUGUUCACCUUCAGCGCUGUGCUGCGCCAGAAAGCCAGCGCAGACCGUCACCGCAGUGAGGUCCCGGUGCCAGGUCUGGCUCUCGACCCGAAACCUGCCCCUCAGCCUGCCCUGCCGGAAGCUGGGUCCGCGGUUUGUGGGGCCGUUUAAAGUCCUGGGGAGACUGAACGAGGUGUGUUACAGGUUACAGCUCCCACUCGAUUACCGUAUUAACCCCUCAAUCCAUGUAUGUCUCCUCAGGCCGGUGGUGGCUGGUCCGCUCCAGGGGUCUGAGGUGCGGGUGGUUCCUCUGCCCCCUCUGGACAUCGAGGGGGACCCGGCGUAUGCCGUUCGGUCCAUACUGGAUUCGAGGAAUCGGGCGAGGGGCCUUCAGUAACUCGUGGAGUGGGAGGGGUACGGUCCGGAGGAGAGAUGCUGGGUUCUGGUGGAGGUUGUGUUGGACAAUUCAAUCAUGCAGGAUUUCCACCGUCUCCGUCCGGAUCGCCCUGCACCUCGCCUUCCUGGUCGUCCCCGAGGCCGGUGUUGGCGUGCUGCUGGAGCCCCGCGUCAAGGGAGGGGGGUACUGUCACGACUUCCGCCGAAGUCGGUUCCUCUCCCUGUUCGGGCGGCGUUCAACGUCACCGGUCUUCUAGCAAUCGCCAAUCCACCUAUCAUUUUCCAUUUGUUUUGUCUUGUUUUCCCACACACCUGGUUUACAUUCCCUCAUUACUUGACGUGUAAAUAACCCUCUGUUCCCCCCAUGUCUGUGUGUGGAAUUGUUUGUUGUAAAGUGUAUGUGCACUUCAGACUGGUUUGCGAUGGAUUAUUUCAACCCAUAUUUUGUUGUUCUGGGAGCCAUUUGUUUUUUUCCUCAUUAAACUGCUUCGGUUAUUACCCAGUUCUGCUCUCCUGUGCCUGACUUCCCUGCAGCCCGUUACGCACCUCUUACAAGAUCAAUAUCUUAGGUUUUGUACCAUUGAUUUUUCCAAGCGCUGGGUUGCGCAGAACUUAGAACGCGCAGAACUUAGAACGCGGGGGUAAUGAAAUGCCCAGGAAAUGGCACAGAAAAUUUGGGCUGGUCUCUCCAUAAAAGUCAACCUAACCCUAACCCUAACCAAUACAUGGAUUUGACAGUCAAACUAUUACUUAAAUAGCAGUCAACUGUUGUUAUUCUAUAGAGGGUCGUGAUUCGUUUAGGUUAACUAACAAAAAAAGUGGUCUGGUCCCUUUUCUAUGAUGGAAGCCUCCCAAAAUCAACAUCCAACAUUCCAAAAUAUAGAUAUAAGCCUUCAAGUACUCAUCUAACCAACUACUUCAGGGUCAGCCUGGCCCCUUGUCGCCCCCUUGUCGCCCUGAAAUCCAACCCCCAUAAGAAGAAGCCCAAAUACGACCUGCCCUUGCCCAGUAUACAUACAAGGUCAGGGGGACAACACUGGUUUUUCGUCUUGUAGUUAAACUUGUUUUAUACACAAUUUAAAGGGAUAGUUCAUCCCAAUUACAAAAUUACUUAAGUUGAGAUCUGGUUCAUAACAUAUUUUUUGGUCCCGUUCAGAUCACAGCCAUGUGUGGGCGUCAGGCUUGUAAGAGACAUGAAUUAUAUGUGAGAUUCAGUGAACAAGGCUGGAAGGAUUGGGUAUUGACUCCUACCUGUUAGUCUGCCUUCUACUGUGAUGGAGAAUGCCUCUACCCUCUGUGUUCCUGCAUGAACUCCACCACCCACACUAUGAUCCAACUAGUGGUUCACCUUCUGAAGCCAGAUGCGGUACCCAAAGCGUGCUGCGCACCCACCAAGCUCAGUCCCAUCUCUGUACUCUUCUACGCUGACAACAACAACGUGAUCCUAAAGAAGCAUCGCAACACGGUGGUCAAGACCUGUGAUGCCUGUGACACCAGUGGCAGCCCAUCUAUCUAUUCUACUUAAUUUUAAUCAACUUAAUUGCCAUUGUUCCAAAAGAUACAAACAGGGUAAAAUAACUUGCAACCAGCAGUUGAUAGCAAUAAUCUGUCAAUAUGCUGAUAAAUAGUAUGUAUCUAAUAUAUUGAUUUUGAGUCUGAGAGUGGUAUAUGAACAACACCCAUUGGACCUAUAACCAUACUUCACUUUUGAUUAACUAAACUAUUCAAAUCUACAGUAAUUCAGAUAAUUACAUCACCCCUUCAUGUCAUAUAUUCUGUGACCAAUCAAAGCUGUAAAGUACUGUAUCAUAAGUAUAUCAAUGCUAAAAUUCUACCCUUUUGAUGACUAUACUAUCUUGUUGAACCAUGAAUUUGUCAUUGUCUCUUUUAGAUGUACUAAACAUGGUUUGCAAAACA